Molecule: ribosomal RNA, 440 nt
Filed under: uncultured bacterium
Lineage: Bacteria
Description: partial 16S ribosomal RNA
Rfam family: Bacterial small subunit ribosomal RNA
Source: RNAcentral
CCUACGGGAGGCAGCAGUAGGGAAUAUUGCUCAAUGGGGGAAACCCUGAAGCAGCAACGCCGCGUGAAGGAUGAAUGUUCUCGGAGUGUAAACCCCCUUUGUUAGAGGAGAUAAUGACGGUAUCUAACGAAUAAGCACCGGCUAACUCCGUGCCAGCAGCCGCGGUAAUACGGAGGGUGCAAGCGUUACUCGGAAUCACUGGGCGUUAAGAGCGCGUAGGCGGGAUAGCAAGUCAGAUGUGAAAUCCUAUGGCUUAACCAUAGAACUGCAUUUGAAACUGUUAUUCUAGAGUAUGGGAGAGGUAGGUGGAAUUCUUGGUGUAGGGGUGAAAUGCGUAGAGAUCAAGAAGAAUACUGAUUGCGAAGGCGACCUGCUAGAACAUAACUGACGCUGAUGCGCGAAAGCGUGGGGAGCAAACAGGAUUAGAUACCCCGGUAGUC